This 507-nucleotide ribosomal RNA is filed under the name Lentilactobacillus buchneri. Its description in RNAcentral is "bacterial SSU rRNA". It matches the Rfam family "Bacterial small subunit ribosomal RNA", at positions 494 to 1010 of the family's 1533-position model. The record is from RNAcentral. Lineage: Bacteria; Bacillati; Bacillota; Bacilli; Lactobacillales; Lactobacillaceae.
CAGGCUAACUACGUGCCAGCAGCCGCGGUAAUACGUAGGUGGCAAGCGUUGUCCGGAUUUUAUGGGCGUAAAGCGAGCGCAGGCGGUUUUUUUAGUUGAUGUGAAAGCUUCGGCUUAACCGGAGAAGUGCAUCGGAAACCGGAGACUUGAGUGCAGAAGAGGACAGUGAACUCCAUGGUAGCGGUGAAAUGCGUAGAUAUAUGAAGAACACCAGUGGCGAAGGCGGCUGUCUGGUCUUAACUACGCUGAGGCUCGAAAGCAUGGGUAGCGAACAGAUUAGAUACCCUGUAGUCCAUGCCGUAAACGAUGAGUCUAAGUGUGGAGGGUUUCCGCCCUUCAGUGCUGCAGCUAACGCAUUAAGCACUCCGCCUGGGGAGUACGACCGCAGGUUGAAACUCAAAGGAAUUGACGGGGGCCCGCACAAGCGGUGGAGCAUGUGGUUUAAUUCGAUGCUACGCGAAGAACCUUACCAGGUCUUGACAUCUUCUGCCAACCUAAGAAGAUUAG